RNAcentral lists this ribosomal RNA (368 nucleotides) under uncultured bacterium. RNAcentral's name for it is "partial 16S ribosomal RNA". It matches the Rfam family "Bacterial small subunit ribosomal RNA", at positions 338 to 723 of the family's 1533-position model. The record is from RNAcentral.
CCUACGGGUGGCAGCAGUGGGGAAUAUUGCACAAUGGGGGAAACUCUGAUGCAGCGAAGCCGCGUGAGCGAUGACGGAUUUCGGUAUUUAAAACUGUAUCAGCAGGGAAGUAAAUGACGGUACCUGACUAACAAGCCCCGGCUAACUACGGACCAGCAGCCGCCGUAAUACGUAGGGGGCAAGCGUUAUCCGGAUUUACUGGGUGUAAAGGGAGCGUAGACGGGCCUGCAAGUCAGAUGUGAAAGCCCGGGGCUCAACCCCGGGAUUGCAGUUGGAACUGGAGGGCUAGAGUGUCGGAGAGGAAGGCGGAAUUCCUAGUGUAGCGGUGAAAUGCGUAGAUAUUAGGAGGAACACCAGUGGCGAAGGCG